This 444-nucleotide ribosomal RNA is filed under the name uncultured soil bacterium. RNAcentral describes it as "bacterial SSU rRNA". It matches the Rfam family "Bacterial small subunit ribosomal RNA", at positions 26 to 518 of the family's 1533-position model. The record is from RNAcentral.
AGAACGAACGCUGGCGGCAUGCCUAAUACAUGCAAGUCGAACGAACACUUCGGUGUUAGUGGCGCACGGGUGCGUAACGCGUGGGAAUCUGCCCUUGGGUUCGGAAUAACAGUUGGAAACGACUGCUAAUACCGGAUGAUGACGAAAGUCCAAAGAUUUAUCGCCCAGGGAUGAGCCCGCGUAGGAUUAGCUAGUUGGUGAGGUAAAGGCUCACCAAGGCGACGAUCCUUAGCUGGUCUGAGAGGAUGAUCAGCCACACUGGGACUGAGACACGGCCCAGACUCCUACGGGAGCAGCAGUAGGGAAUAUUGGACAAUGGGCGCGAGCCUGAUCCAGCAAUGCCGCGUGAGUGAUGAAGGCCUUAGGGUUGUAAAGCUCUUUUACCCGAGAUGAUAAUGACAGUAUCGGAGAAUAAGCCCCGGCUAACUCCGCGCCAGCAGCCGC